GACGAACGCUGGCGGCGUGCUUAACACAUGCAAGUCGAACGGUAAGGCCCUUCGGGGUACACGAGUGGCGAACGGGUGAGUAACACGUGGGUGAUCUGCCCUGCACUUCGGGAUAAGCCUGGGAAACUGGGUCUAAUACCGGAUAGGACCAUGCGCUUCCCGGUGUGGGGGGGCAAGCUGUUGCGGUGUGGGAUGGGCCCGCGGCCUAUCAGCUUGUUGGUGGGGUAAUGGCUUACCAAGGCGACGACGGGUAGCCGGCCUGAGAGGGUGACCGGCCACACUGGGACUGAGAUACGGCCCAGGCUCCUACGGGAGGCAGCAGUGGGGAAUAUUGCACAAUGGGCGCAAGCCUGAUGCAGCGACGCCGCGUGAGGGAUGACGGCCUUCGGGUUGUAAACCUCUUUCAGUAGGGACGAAGCGCAAGUGACGGUACCUACAGAAGAAGGACCGGCCAACUACGUGCCAGCAGCCGCCGCGG
RNAcentral lists this ribosomal RNA (478 nucleotides) under uncultured bacterium. RNAcentral describes it as "partial 16S ribosomal RNA". It matches the Rfam family "Bacterial small subunit ribosomal RNA", at positions 28 to 523 of the family's 1533-position model. The record is from RNAcentral.